UAGUUGGUGGAGUGAUCUGUCUGGUUAAUUCCGUUAACGAACGAGACCUUAACCUGCUAAAUAGUUACACAUAAUUGCGGUUAUGUGGGCAACUUCUUAGAGGGACUUUGUGUGUCUAACGCAAGGAAGUUUGAGGCAAUAACAGGU
This 147-nucleotide ribosomal RNA is filed under the name Dinophyceae sp. Its description in RNAcentral is "partial small subunit ribosomal RNA". It matches the Rfam family "Eukaryotic small subunit ribosomal RNA", at positions 1295 to 1461 of the family's 1831-position model. Lineage: Eukaryota; Dinophyceae. The record is from RNAcentral.